This 67-nucleotide transfer RNA is filed under the name Pecten albicans. RNAcentral describes it as "tRNA-Val". The record is from RNAcentral. Lineage: Eukaryota; Metazoa; Mollusca; Bivalvia; Pectinida; Pectinidae.
GCCAAGCUAGUAUAAAUAGUACUAGUGGCUUACAUCCACUUAGAGGCUUGUAGUUGGCCGCUUGGUU